RNAcentral lists this ribosomal RNA (421 nucleotides) under Escherichia coli. RNAcentral describes it as "bacterial SSU rRNA". It matches the Rfam family "Bacterial small subunit ribosomal RNA", at positions 571 to 991 of the family's 1533-position model. Lineage: Bacteria; Pseudomonadati; Pseudomonadota; Gammaproteobacteria; Enterobacterales; Enterobacteriaceae. The record is from RNAcentral.
GCAGGCGGUUUGUUAAGUCAGAUGUGAAAUCCCCGGGCUCAACCUGGGAACUGCAUCUGAUACUGGCAAGCUUGAGUCUCGUAGAGGGGGGUAGAAUUCCAGGUGUAGCGGUGAAAUGCGUAGAGAUCUGGAGGAAUACCGGUGGCGAAGGCGGCCCCCUGGACGAAGACUGACGCUCAGGUGCGAAAGCGUGGGGAGCAAACAGGAUUAGAUACCCUGGUAGUCCACGCCGUAAACGAUGUCGACUUGGAGGUUGUGCCCUUGAGGCGUGGCUUCCGGAGCUAACGCGUUAAGUCGACCGCCUGGGGAGUACGGCCGCAAGGUUAAAACUCAAAUGAAUUGACGGGGGCCCGCACAAGCGGUGGAGCAUGUGGUUUAAUUCGAUGCAACGCGAAGAACCUUACCUGGUCUUGACAUCCAC